This is a long non-coding RNA of Clupea harengus (Atlantic herring), 2330 nucleotides long. RefSeq lists it as uncharacterized. The record is from RefSeq and is a predicted model, not a curated record. NCBI's taxonomy places the organism in Eukaryota, Metazoa, Chordata, Actinopteri, Clupeiformes, Clupeidae.
CAGGUGCCGGAAUGAAUCCCGAUCAAUUAUCUUGACAGGUAGCUUACAAUCUUGAUCAAUGCAACGUAACUUUUCUUAAGCUUGGGAGACGUUCCUUCUCACAGUCAAGGUAUAAUUUUCAAGUUUAAAUACACGUUUUUAAAACGUGUAGCAUAGGUUUACUUCAAACUAAGAUUAUCAUUAAAAUCAUAGUUACGGAGCCCCUCUGAUGACAUUGGUGAGAGAAUAAUAUUGCAACGUCGAACGGAACGAAUUGCAAAAUCAAUUUUUUGGCUUCGAGCUUAUUAUUAAUGGCACAACUGCCUAGACUGAUUCAGAAGGGCAGGAAUGUCAGACAUAAAUAAGUUACUGACGAUGUACUGAUGCAUAACUAACACAGGGGCUAGCACUGGCAUUUAUAACAUGAUACACAGACUAAAAUGAUAACAGUAAUGCAUGCUAACAUUAGCAGGAAAAGGAGACACAGCAAUAUCCUAAAGCCAGACACUUAAACACAGCAUUAGACCGGUGACGGGUGGAGCACCAAGACCUGCAGGAUGUUGUGAUGGCCCCCAGGAGUCUGCCACCAUCGAUACAGGAGCCCAUCCUGGUUGGUGAGGCAGGGCCACUGCGAAUAGAGAGCCUUGGUCAGGAUACAGUGCUGAGACGACAGCCCAGGGUCACUGCCUGCCGCUGCUGGGGUGGAGAGCCACAAAGCUACCACCACUGGAGUUGCCGCGUCCCGGUCGGUGCUGCGCUGACAAAGCCGGCACCUGUCCUCCAGAUAAUCUGCAUUGGCGUCCCAAAGGCGUCACCGGGGCGAGUAGCGUUGAUGGAGAGUGACGGUAAGGCUUCUCUGGAAGUGGCCAGCAGCGUGGCGCACCACGGCUUCAGUGCCCAGAAUUAGCCUGGCUCCCCACGCAUCCACUGUGGCCCCCCCACAGAUUCAGCCCAAUGAUGCAUGUCCUGGAUGUUGGGCAGCCAGAACGGGUGGUGGUUCCUGCAGUGACUUCUUCCCUUGCAUCUGUGCUCGCUCUCCUAUGACCGUGGCUACACAGAUCGCGGUUGUAUUCCAGCCCUGUGGUCUGGGCUCACGUGUUCUGGGCAGUGUUUUCCGGGGCGGACCAUGGAGAUGGUGGACACCGUGUCCACCAGAUCCCGGUAGGAGGUGCCUUCCAGGUCACAGUCAACACAAAGUGCACGUGCUCGACCAAGCCAGCUGAGCCUCUGCUAUGUGCUUAUCAGUGGCUGGAGUGCUGGUGCUAGGCAAUGGCUUGCGACAUGCCCUGGUUCUCUGCAGCACCCUUUAGAUUGCUCUGCCGCUCUUCGUGGUCCCUGCCUCGGUCACUGGGGAACUGUAGCAUUGGCUUGUCCCGGGUGUCAUCUUCGAAGACCUGCUGGCCAGCUGGGCCACUCUACCAGCUGAAGAUCUGUAAGGACUUGCAGCGCUUUGCCCUUCAGAGCGAGAGCUACCUGGACGCCUGUUUCCUCUGCCGACCAGGUGAUUUAAUCUGUGAGUCUUGCAGAUAAAACAAGACUUGACAGGUACAGUCCUGGUCCAAGACACAGAGUGCAGAGGAAGAGCCAGAGGAAGAACAACAGAGAGAGGAGAGAGUGUUUAACACUGGCGAAAUCCAUUGAUCGUCACAACUCUUCCUAAACGGUAGGCUACUGGAGAAGGCUGUGACACAAUAAGAAAAGUUGAAUCUCUAUCAUCCCCUGGACACCAAGGUGAAUUUGCCAACGCUGGCUGCGGCGUCCCCUUGACUUGACUGGAACUCUUUGGAAGAGCAACAUUGCCAUCUAACACUCUGAGGUCGGUGAAACCCGCAAUGAGCUUCAUGUAAAAGCACAAACGAACGGUCCAGCCGAGAUCCAUGCAGUGACAGUUGGAGAUGAAAUAGAAAUUUCUAUAUCAAACACCUACACAAAGGAGUGAUGACCUUUGAUCAAACGGGCGUUUGAUGUUUUGACAUGGAAAUUUGCAUCCGGGCAGCCCCUGACGCGGACAGCACGGCACAGGGGCUAAUGACUCUGCCCCUGCCAGAGAUGCGGAGAGGUCAGGAUCCUUUUAGGAAAUAACAGUCACUUUCAUCCCACGGCAUCGGUAGGAUCAGCAUCUUGUUUGAAGUGAAAUCAGACAAAAACACAUGCUCUUUAACUAAUUACCAGCAUCUCCACGGUGAUAGUGCCACUGAGACUCUCCACUGCGAUCUCAUUUGGAUGAAAGACAGCAAUGAUCAACCUCAAAGGAGUGCGAGCAGCGGAAUGUUCAAGAAGGUUGUAAGGAAUGCGUUUUCUUUUUCUUUUGUGAUGUGCUUUACAAUUGAGAAUAAAGUAAAAUCAGUGCA